This 497-nucleotide ribosomal RNA is filed under the name uncultured bacterium. RNAcentral's name for it is "partial 16S ribosomal RNA". It matches the Rfam family "Bacterial small subunit ribosomal RNA", at positions 28 to 507 of the family's 1533-position model. The record is from RNAcentral.
GACGAACGCUGGCGGCGUGCCUAAUACAUGCAAGUUGAGCGAUGAAGAUUGGUGCUUGCACCAAUUUGAAGAGCAGCGAACGGGUGAGUAACGCGUGGGGAAUCUGCCUUUGAGCGGGGGACAACAUUUGGAAACGAAUGCUAAUACCGCAUAACAACUUUAAACAUAAGUUUUAAGUUUGAAAGAUGCAAUUGCAUCACUCAAAGAUGAUCCCGCGUUGUAUUAGCUAGUUGGUGAGGUAAAGGCUCACCAAGGCGAUGAUACAUAGCCGACCUGAGAGGGUGAUCGGCCACAUUGGGACUGAGACACGGCCCAAACUCCUACGGGAGGCAGCAGUAGGGAAUCUUCGGCAAUGGACGAAAGUCUGACCGAGCAACGCCGCGGGAGUGAAGAAGGUUUUCGGAUCGUAAAACUCUGUUGGUAGAGAAGAACGUUGGUGAGAGUGGAAAGCUCAUCAAGUGACGGUAACUACCCAGAAAGGGACGGCUAACUACGUG